Molecule: long non-coding RNA, 112 nt
Organism: Mustela erminea (ermine)
Lineage: Eukaryota; Metazoa; Chordata; Mammalia; Carnivora; Mustelidae
Exons: 3
Source: RefSeq, a predicted model, not a curated record
UAUUGUUUUGAUGCUAUGGCUUUAUAGUAUAGCUUAAAAGCAGGAAGUAUGGUGCCUCCUACUUUGUUCUUUUUCAGGAUUUCUUUGCUUUUUUGGGGUCUUUUUUGGUUCC